RNAcentral lists this ribosomal RNA (1404 nucleotides) under Klebsiella sp. RNAcentral's name for it is "bacterial SSU rRNA". It matches the Rfam family "Bacterial small subunit ribosomal RNA". Lineage: Bacteria; Pseudomonadati; Pseudomonadota; Gammaproteobacteria; Enterobacterales; Enterobacteriaceae. The record is from RNAcentral.
GCAGUCGAGCGGUAGCACAGAGAGCUUGCUCUCGGGUGACGAGCGGCGGACGGGUGAGUAAUGUCUGGGAAACUGCCUGAUGGAGGGGGAUAACUACUGGAAACGGUAGCUAAUACCGCAUAACGUCGCAAGACCAAAGUGGGGGACCUUCGGGCCUCAUGCCAUCAGAUGUGCCCAGAUGGGAUUAGCUGGUAGGUGGGGUAACGGCUCACCUAGGCGACGAUCCCUAGCUGGUCUGAGAGGAUGACCAGCCACACUGGAACUGAGACACGGUCCAGACUCCUACGGGAGGCAGCAGUGGGGAAUAUUGCACAAUGGGCGCAAGCCUGAUGCAGCCAUGCCGCGUGUGUGAAGAAGGCCUUCGGGUUGUAAAGCACUUUCAGCGGGGAGGAAGGCGGUGAGGUUAAUAACCUUGUCGAUUGACGUUACCCGCAGAAGAAGCACCGGCUAACUCCGUGCCAGCAGCCGCGGUAAUACGGAGGGUGCAAGCGUUAAUCGGAAUUACUGGGCGUAAAGCGCACGCAGGCGGUCUGUCAAGUCGGAUGUGAAAUCCCCGGGCUCAACCUGGGAACUGCAUUCGAAACUGGCAGGCUAGAGUCUUGUAGAGGGGGGUAGAAUUCCAGGUGUAGCGGUGAAAUGCGUAGAGAUCUGGAGGAAUACCGGUGGCGAAGGCGGCCCCCUGGACAAAGACUGACGCUCAGGUGCGAAAGCGUGGGGAGCAAACAGGAUUAGAUACCCUGGUAGUCCACGCUGUAAACGAUGUCGAUUUGGAGGUUGUGCCCUUGAGGCGUGGCUUCCGGAGCUAACGCGUUAAAUCGACCGCCUGGGGAGUACGGCCGCAAGGUUAAAACUCAAAUGAAUUGACGGGGGCCCGCACAAGCGGUGGAGCAUGUGGUUUAAUUCGAUGCAACGCGAAGAACCUUACCUGGUCUUGACAUCCACAGAACUUUCCAGAGAUGGAUUGGUGCCUUCGGGAACUGUGAGACAGGUGCUGCAUGGCUGUCGUCAGCUCGUGUUGUGAAAUGUUGGGUUAAGUCCCGCAACGAGCGCAACCCUUAUCCUUUGUUGCCAGCGGUCCGGCCGGGAACUCAAAGGAGACUGCCAGUGAUAAACUGGAGGAAGGUGGGGAUGACGUCAAGUCAUCAUGGCCCUUACGACCAGGGCUACACACGUGCUACAAUGGCAUAUACAAAGAGAAGCGACCUCGCGAGAGCAAGCGGACCUCAUAAAGUAUGUCGUAGUCCGGAUUGGAGUCUGCAACUCGACUCCAUGAAGUCGGAAUCGCUAGUAAUCGUAGAUCAGAAUGCUACGGUGAAUACGUUCCCGGGCCUUGUACACACCGCCCGUCACACCAUGGGAGUGGGUUGCAAAAGAAGUAGGUAGCUUAACCUUCGGGAGGGCGCU